UACGAAGGGGGCUAGCGUUGCUCGGAAUCACUGGGCGUAAAGGGUGCGUAGGCGGGUCUUUAAGUCAGGGGUGAAAUCCUGGAGCUCAACUCCAGAACUGCCUUUGAUACUGAAGAUCUUGAGUUCGGGAGAGGUGAGUGGAACUCCGAGUGUAGAGGUGAAAUUCGUAGAUAUUCGGAAGAACACCAGUGGCGAAGGCGGCUCACUGGUCCGGUACUGACGCUGAUGUGCGAAAGCGUGGGGAGCAAACAGG
Molecule: ribosomal RNA, 253 nt
Filed under: uncultured bacterium
Lineage: Bacteria
Description: partial 16S ribosomal RNA
Rfam family: Bacterial small subunit ribosomal RNA
Source: RNAcentral